Hevea brasiliensis (rubber tree) is the source of this 6000-nucleotide long non-coding RNA. RefSeq lists it as uncharacterized. The transcript is spliced from 2 exons. Lineage: Eukaryota; Viridiplantae; Streptophyta; Magnoliopsida; Malpighiales; Euphorbiaceae. The record is from RefSeq and is a predicted model, not a curated record.
UCUCUCUAUCUCUCUCUUGCUCUCUCUUUGUCUCUGUUAUUUUCUUUGAACUUCCUUUUUACUCUCUUCUUUUAAUCCGCAAUAACAAUCCUAUCAGCUUCACAUCCAGUUCCAAAGGGAAAAAAUUGGGAAAUUUUUCAUCCUGAAUUUUGAUCUUAACCACAGUCACGGAGCUUAGAUCUAAAUUUCUAACUAAUCAGCAACAAUGUCCUUUGCUUGGGAUUACCAUUUGCAAGGUGGCACUCUCCAUGAUGAUCGGUGGUUCUCAUUCAAUAGGAACAACCACAAUAAAAGGAGCAGGAGUAUGAACACAAAUAGGGACAACGAUUACAUUGCACCCUUAGUUAUUCGAAUGCCAAUGAUAAGGUACGUAAUGUGUGAGCCGAGAGUCCUCCUCACUCGUUAUGAAUAUUUAGGAAUCGACUAACACCUCUUCGGAAUUAGAGUCCUAAUUCGAGGAGUGAGGAACCUAACAAAUACAUAACAAGUUAAACAAACAUAACAUCAAUUCACUGUAGAGUCAUCCCAUCUACUUAUGUCCUUGGAAAAUCCAAGAUGGUGAAAUAUUAAACGUUCAUUUUAUCAAUAAUAGGAACUAGCAUCAUGAUUUUAACCCCAAAAUUAUCAAUCUCAAAUUAUGAAGAGUACAUCGUUAAAUCUGUUUAUCCUUAUUGAGGGACGAGGUGGGGUGUCUAACACCUUCCUCAUCCGUGCAUGGAUCCCGAACUUUAAAUCUCUGUUUUUCGAAGUGGUUCUCAUAAAUUUUUACAAAUGAUUUUCUUUGAUUUCCCUUAAAAUUAAAGUGGCGACUCCUCACUUUUUCCACCUCGGUGAGAAUCGUCUGGCGACUGCAAAACCUUUGUGACAAUGUUAGUGUAAUAAAAUGAUUUUGUAAAAGUUGUAUCCAUUUAUCACUGAAUGUUGAAUUAUAUAAGUGUUGAAAUAAAAGUUUUAUAGCUUUGAUGUUGUAUUAUGCCUACUGAAGAAACGCAGGGAGGCAAUAGUUGUGAUUUGAGAAAUUAUAGGGACUAAAUAGGUAUGUAUUUUAAAAUUAUAGGGGCUAAAUAAUUGUCUUAUUCAAAUUAUGAGGACUAAAUAAUUGUCUUAUUCAAAUUAUGGGAACUAAAUAGUUAUAUUAUUCAAAUUACAGGGACUAAAUAGUUGAGUUGGCAACAUAUAUUUUGAGAUGGUAACCCCUGUUUUUGAUGAAUUAGUAACCUGUAAAAUGAAAAACCUGUCUAUAAUAUAUAAUUUAUAACCUGUAAAAUGCAACAAUUAUCAAAGACAAAUUUUUCUAUCAAUAGUAUAUAUUGGAAUAGAUACAAAAAUCAACUGUUUACAACCAAAAUACUUGAUCAAUUAAAUAACAGUAAAGAUAGCCAUCAUUCUAGUGAUCAAGUCCAUUACAUUACUAUAAAUCAAAAUUAUUAAAUAACUUAUCUAAUAUCAUCUCCAAUAAGCACUAAAUUUCUCAAUAUUUACACGCACAAAGUUCCAACUAUGCACAUUGCAACCACAAAAUAUAAGACUACAGGGCAUAUUUCACCAAUAAAAUUGAACUAACAACAAAAUAUGACUAAUGUUCCAUUUCCAAUGACCAUCCUAAUGCAAUGACUAUCUCCCCAUAUCUUGAGCAAUGUUACUGUUCACAUACAUGGCUUGUUGCACAUGCCCCCCUUGAGAUUGUGGCUUAAAUUCUUGGUGGGCUACAGAACUGUUUUUUUUUCUUCCUUCCACCUCUAGAACUUGUGUUGGACCGCAUGAAGAAAUAGCUCAUGUCAUAAUAAAAUAUUAACAUAAAAAUCAAUAAAUAUAUAUAUAAUUGAGAUCUUUGUAUGCAUAAAAUUUUUAAUUGAUAGAUGGUAAAAUAGUUUAAUAUGACAAAACUUACCCCAACUAGGGCAUAUUGGCAAGUCCUCUUAUUAUGUCCCAAUUGCUUGCACCUGGCACAAAACACCAUUGCAUUCCUUCUUCUCUUUACUGUAGGCCCUAGCUCUCUCUCUUCCCUUUUCCUCGAUUUUCGAGGCCUGCUUAGUUGCCUUUUCAAUGGGUGUGGUUUUAUUGGUGGGUGUUCAGCAUUUGGUUCCAUAUUCAUUUCUGGGAUUGGAUGAAUUGCACAUUCAUAGACCUUCAAAUAGGUAUCAACAUCUUAGUAAUUAUGACAGUACUUCUCUAUAUCUCCUCUCUGAUGCCCAAUGGCUUUGGCUGCAUAUUUACAUGGCAAUCUAGAUAUGUCCCACCAUCCACAGGAGCAAGUCUUUUUCACCAAAGAAACAACAAAUUUACAGGGACCCUCAUGAACCUCGAACUCUUCAUUCUUUCCAGGUAUUAGCUUAACACAUCUACUCUGACUUGUAAUCUUGUUCAAUAUCUUCUUUGUUCUAGGUGUGACCUUCCCAUCCCAAGUACAGCCCUUUGCAUACAUGCUAUGGAAUCUUAACAUGAGUUUCUAUCUAAUGCUCUCAAUUAUGUUGAUCAAUGGCAUUCCUCUUAGCUUGCCUAUCCAGCUUUUAAAAGAUUCUGUCAUGUUGUUUGUGUAGUUUUCACAUUUUGUCUGUCCAAAAUGAAUGCCUUGUCCAUUGUGACAAAGGUAUCUUUAACAACUGUUAUGGAAAGUCAAUCACAAUAUUAUUUCUCUGUAUAUUCUGAUUCUGUAUUCUGUAUUCCUAUUUAGGAUUUCUUCCUAAUUAGUAUAACACAAUUAUAGGAAUCAAUUGUAUAUAUAUACCCAGAAUCAUCUCUUUCUACAACAACCAAUCAUAUGGCUUCUGCUGCCUCUUAGGCUUAAACACCUUCAUAUGAAGCCAAAAUUCAUAACUAUUUGUAGCUUUUGCACAAUUUCAAAAGUUAUCUUUUAGUUGCAUUCCUGGAAAUUGUUUCUUGGAAUUUGAGAAUAAAUGCCUACAGCAGAAUCUAUGGCAAGCAGUUGGAAAAACCUCCUUUACUGCUUCCACUAAACCCUACACAAAAUUCAUUUUGUCAAAACAUACUAUUGGACAAUGGAUAUUAAAUAAUAUAUUGGAUAAUGUAAUAAAGUAAAGCAAACUAGUUAGAUAGGUUACCUUUUGUCUAUCAGACAUGAAUGUCCAUGGCCUGUUGUCUCCAGUGCAAUGAUACAGGUUCUCUAAGAAAAAAUUCCAACUCUCCAAACAUUCUGACUCUCCAAAUGCAAAUGCUAAGGGUAGUGCUCCUCUAUUACCAUCUAAUACAACAGCAGAUAAAAAGAUCCCUCCAUAUAGACCCUUUAAGUGACAGCCGUCAAGGCCAAUCAAAGGCCUACAUCCCUUUGUGAACCCAUCCUUGGUUGCUUCGAAUGAUAUGAACAAUCUUUUGAAAACCAUGUCAUCCUCUUCCUUGACUCUAGUUUCUAGUUCAAUCUUAACCACUACUCCAGGAUUAUACUUUUGCAAGUAGUACAAAUAUUUUUUGAACUUUUUGUAGCUAUCAGCAUGCUCCCCAAUAUUUUGUGAUUUAGCUAUAAUCUUGGCCCUAUACAAAUGCCACAUAGGUGCAUCCACUUCGCAUUUCUCAAGUAAGUGAUGUUGCAUUAGCUCAUAAGACAUAUUUGGAUCAGCUCUAAAACUCAUCAAUUUCUCUAAAAUCCAUCUAGUGGUGCCAUUGGGGUUCUUAUCGUCUAGUGGUCUCAUACAACUAUGAACAUUAAUAAGAGUCUUCAGCAUAAAUGCCAUGUCAUUUGCUAAAGUACUUGCAUUAAAUCUCCAAUCACAUCCUUCAACACCCCAAGUAGUUGUUACCCUCCUAUUAUCAUUCUUCUUUUUAUGUAUUUCAUACCCUCAUUUCACUGCAUAGUCUCUUAAAGCCUCUUUAAUAGCUGUGACAUCUUUAAAAACCUGACCAACUUGGAAAGCAAUAUCUUCACCCUUUUUAUAAUGAAAAGGGUUUGCAUACACCCCCUUAAAUGGAUCUUUAUAUGGUUUUUGUUUAAUAGGAUCAUCAUUUUCAUCAUCCUUGUCACUGCAAAUGUCAGACAAUCCAUCAUCAUCUUCCUCUAUAUCCCCAAUGUCAUCAUCUAAUUCAUCCUCAUUAUCACUACUCAUUUCAUAACCAUGUUCCAGCCUGUCUUCAUCAUCAUUGUCAGUAAAUUCAAUCUCACUAUCACUGACAGGGGGUGCAUCAUCAUUAGGUGCAGCCCUAGCUCCUUUUACCCCUCACAGAACCCUUGCGCACAUUAGAAGACCCUCUGCCCACAGUAGAAGAUCCUCUGCCCACAGUAGCAGACCCCCUGCCCAUUUUAACAGAACCCCCUCCACUAGACACACCAACAUAGUGAACAGGGGCAGUAUUCCUUCGACCACCUAUCACACUGCCCACAGAAGCCAUUCUGACAUCAACAAAACUCAUGUUUACAUUUUUAGCCUCUCUUCCAAUACGAAAAUAAGGUCCAAAUCUACCCAUAUCCUUAUCCCCAAUUUCAAUUUCACCAACAAUCUUCUUACCCUUUUCGGCCAAAUCACCAGAAUUGCCCCGUGUUACCGGGGCCAACCCUACACGCCUUGGACUUCCUAUUAUCACCUGGCAUCUCAACACUCAGAGCAACGUGUUUUGUUCUAAUUGUAAAAGGAAUCACUGGGUUAUCCUUGCACAUUUCAAACAUGAAAAGUAGGUCCCAAUCAGUUUCAACAGCCAGUCCAUUUCCAGUCAUUACACUAAUAAAAUCAGAUUGUAUUUCAAACAUUUUAUACACAUCAGCUAGCAACUCAAUGUAUGAAUACUUAUCUGCUGGGACAUUCCCAAGUUCACUCUCUUUUUCUUCAUACUUAAAAACACGAGUAUAAUACUCUGCAUAAUUCAUUUUCCCCCUGACAUAAAAAAUACAAAAGUAAUCAAUCACAACAUUGUUAAGUUAACUUUACUUACUUUAAUAAAAUACAUGCUUUUACUGUGAACAUUCCAAGAAACUAAAACAAUAUUUUAUUUCAACACAUCACAUAUUAAAUUGCACAAGUAUUACAAUUGGUAAUACGCGCACACACACACACACUUUUAGACUAUCCAAAAAAAUUAUAUUUUAUUUCUUUGCUCUGUCCACAAGUAUUACAUGGUUGAUUGACUACAAGUAUAUAUAAGUCCCAUAUGUGCACAGUGGUAGAAAAUUUUUCAAUAUGAAAAUAAUUACAUAUCAGUGUUAGACAAAAUUCUUAAUUAGAAUAAUCUUGCAGUCUUACUGCAAUGUUUUUUUAAUCUUGCAAUCUUACUGCAAUGUUUUUUUCUAUCAAAAUAAUUUUCGUUUAAAAGAAGUUAUCACUGGUUAUUGUUUAUUUUGGUGGUUGUAAAGUAGAAAAAAUAAAAUUGAAAAUUGCUUGCCAAAGGAAGGGAUCACUAAUUUGUAUUUGUUCUGGUGGUUAUAGAAUAGCAAAAGAAACAAGUGGAGUGGGUGAUGGGAGACCACAAUUGUGGUAUUAGUGGUAAUCCAAGUAUGAAUCUCUAAAUAUAUCCAUAAAAUUUUAUUUUUAGCAUACUUGUGUAUCUGGAUUGGUGUAUACAUAACUUUCCACAUCAUUGUCACCAGUAAAAACUAUCAAAUCAGUUGAAUGGAUGAUGGAUGCAAUGAAUAUGUUUGAUGUGCAGAUGCUAUUUGAAAGUCUGUGGUCUUGUAAAGUGUGCAAUAAUCAUUUUAAGGAUAUUUAGAAGAUCAUAAUGAUUUAAUUAUUUAUUUAUUAUUUUUGUAAUAUAAGAAUUGCAGAGACAAGUUUAACGUUAGUUUUUUACUCUAAAUAAAUUUUUUAGUCUACAUAUAGAACCUUUUAACAGUUCCUGCAGGGUAAGAGGAACAUACAAUACAUCAAAAUUCCCAGUUAUAGAAGCUAGUACUUUUUUAUUUUUUCCCCAUUUUCACUUCCCUUUAAAUUCUCUUGCGGGUGAUUUAUUUCGAUUCUGGAUUUGUUUCAAUAUAGGAGUUGUGAGAAGCUUGAUUGACAAUGCUUCACUCUACAUCUUUAUUCAUUAUGAUAAUCUUGAGUUUGGGAAAGGUUGAUCUUA